Onychomys torridus (southern grasshopper mouse) is the source of this 444-nucleotide non-coding RNA. The record is from the annotation of a RefSeq genome assembly. NCBI's taxonomy places the organism in Eukaryota, Metazoa, Chordata, Mammalia, Rodentia, Cricetidae.
AUGGGAUUGCUGGUGAAAACUGUCAACUUGCUGCUACUCAGUGUAGUGGUAUUAGAUGGUGAAAUUAAUCUUAUGCAGUUUCCAGCAUCCAUGGCCACAUCGCAAGAGGAGAAGGUUACUAUCACCUGCAGUGCCAGCUCAAGUGUAAGCUCCAAUUACUUCCACUGGUACCGGCAGAAGCCAGGAGCCUCCCCUAAAUGCCUGAUUUAUGGAACAUCCAACCUGGCUUCUGGAGUUACAGCUCGUUUCAGUGGCAGUGGGUCUGGGACCUCUUACUCUCUCACAAUUAGCAGCAUGGAGGCUGAAGAUGCUGCCACUUACUACUGUCAGCAGAAGAGCAGUGUCCCAUUCUCACAGUUCUACAAAGAAGAACUAAAAACCCUUUGGCCUUCUCAGGACACAGCUGCUUCCUUCUUAGAAGAUAACAUAUGGUCAAGAUUUUGA